UUUCCGUAGGUGAACCUGCGGAAGGAUCAUUAUUGUAUAACCGAGGUGCGAGGGCUGUCGCUGACCCGACAUGUCGUGCACGCCCGAGUGCCCUCACACACAUCCAUCUCACCCCUAUUUGCACCACCGUGUUGGUCCCCCUUUGGCUUGUUCGGAGGGGGGCUUACGUUUUCACACAAACUUUGUAUGCAGUGUAGAAUGUAUUUUUUGUUUUUGCGAUCACGCAAUCAAUACAACUUUCAACAACGGAUCUCUUGGCUCUC
RNAcentral lists this unclassified non-coding RNA (263 nucleotides) under plant metagenome. RNAcentral's name for it is "partial contains small subunit ribosomal RNA, internal transcribed spacer 1, and 5.8S ribosomal RNA". The record is from RNAcentral.